RNAcentral lists this long non-coding RNA (1763 nucleotides) under Homo sapiens (human). RNAcentral describes it as "HSALNT0390117". The record is from RNAcentral. Lineage: Eukaryota; Metazoa; Chordata; Mammalia; Primates; Hominidae.
CUACGAACCCCACGGGAGGGGUCAGUGCCCACCAGCAGGCUCCUUGGCACCAAGCCUCCAUCUUCUUCCCGGGGUGGAGGGAGAUGUCAAGCCUAGAAGCCUCAGCUGGCCUGUUCUUGGGCGCCUGGCCUACCACCCGCCCCAGCCUCACCCGCAGGGUCUCCAACUCCUUGCGCGCCUGGCUUAGCUGUUUUUCCAGUUCUGCAAUCUUGGCCAUGGAUUCGUUCUCCGCGUCCCGAAGCCGCUCUGUCAGCUGUAGCACCAGCACAUGGUGAGCCCCGACCCGCAGCCCGGCACUGGCACCGCCGGUGAGGGGGCGGCAUCAGGCAUGCCUGCCUGGAAGACUGGGGGAGGCUCCCAGAUCCGCUCAGCCCAGGUGCCAAGGGUGGGCCGAGCCUGGCACUCGAACCCAAGCAAAUAAGGAGAGGAAACCAAGUUCCUCCAUGUGCUCCAGCACAGCGUUCUUGGUCUCUGUGUCCUCCAGCAGCGCCCCCACAUCAAAAAUAUUGUCCAGGUACGCCUGGAUCUGCACCUGCAGCUUGUCACUCUCGAUGGCAAAACUGACACUGAGAGAGAGGAAGAGGCCUAUCCAAGGUCACACGGCAGGCAACGGCAGAGCCAGGAUUUAAACCCAGGUCUACCUGACCCCAGCACUCAUGCUGCUAACCACUCAGCCAUACUCUGCCGUGGGCAGGCAGUUCAGUCUGGGGGGCAGUACAGGGCUUACCUCCAAGUACAGGUCCAGGCCCAAGUGGGUGAACUCAUAUUGCAGGAAGACACGGAAGUUCAUGUUCUCCACCGAAUGUACCACAAUGUUGAUGAACUGCAUGCAGGCCACCUGGGAGCCAGGGACAUGGGGAGAUCUAUGAUCCUCUAGGUGGGGUUGCUCAAUGCCUUCCACCUCCACUUACCCCAAGCCUCCCUCCUUCUCCACAGUUCUCACUCCACUAACUCCCAGCCUUGGCCUGCCCAACAUUUCACCUCCAUGUUCCCUCAAUCCAGCCCCCUGCCAACAUCCACCCUUCCCCUACUGACCACUCAGUCCUUACGCUUUGCGGGGGCAGAGCCCAUUGCCCAGCACCCAGGACCCUAGCUGCUCCCUGCACCCAAGAGGGCCUGGCCCAGGCCUCAGGCUGCUGGGCUCCUGAGCUCACCAUGAAGUCGAUGUUGCUGUCCUCAUUCCGGAAAUAUUCCAUCAGCUUUUCAAAGCGGUGCUGCUCCCCACACACCUGGGUAAGGGGAAUGGCUCUCACUGAGGCCCAGUGACACACGUCCUAAGCUACCUUCUGGCUGCCACACCUGUGCUUCAACAGGCUCCUCUCCAGUUAAUUCUAAGUUGAGCCACGUCACUCUUCUGCUCAAAACCUCCACUCCCUCUCAAUCUCCCACUCUCCCUCACUUUUUCCACUCUGGCCACACUGGCAUCCUGGCACAUUCCCACCCCAGGGCCUUUGCACUUACUGUUCCAACUCCCUGGAGUGCCCUCACUCCCACACCAAGUCCCUUGCUUCCUUCACAGCUUUGCUGAAAUCUCACUUGCUCAGUGAGGCCUUCCCUGACCACCCUGCAACCAAUUCCCCCUCCCUCUGCAACAUUGCUGGCUUUUUUCUCACAGCAUUUAUCAUUUCCUAACAUACUAUGUAAUUUGCUUGUUUAUUAUAUCGUUUCUGUCUUUCCCUAUAUGGUUUCCUUUGUUCACUGAUGUGCCCAAGUGCCCUGUUCCUGACACAUAGUAGGCACUCAAUAAAUAUUCAUUAAAGGAA